Molecule: non-coding RNA, 210 nt
Organism: Pelobates cultripes (western spadefoot toad)
Lineage: Eukaryota; Metazoa; Chordata; Amphibia; Anura; Pelobatidae
Source: the annotation of a GenBank genome assembly
GUGAGAUCUUGUGUGGGGGUUAGUUUGUGUUGUGCUUCGAGUUGUCUGAUCUGGUCCAGUAGGGAUGUUAUGUGGGCUAUGUGUUUUUUUUUUUCGCUAGCUGUUCACAUGUAUACAAGUAGACAAAUAAACAAUCGUGGCACGUAUGACCAGCGUCUCUACAUUUAAAGUACGUAAAGGAUAUUUGAUGGGUCGUUGGAUAGGUGCAGU